Molecule: transfer RNA, 72 nt
Filed under: Eulemur rubriventer (red-bellied lemur)
Lineage: Eukaryota; Metazoa; Chordata; Mammalia; Primates; Lemuridae
Description: tRNA-Ser
Rfam family: tRNA
About the family: Transfer RNA (tRNA) molecules are approximately 80 nucleotides in length. Their secondary structure includes four short double-helical elements and three loops (D, anti-codon, and T loops).
Source: RNAcentral
UAAAGAAAGUUGUAAUGGUUACACAGUUGGCUUGAAACCAAUUUAAGGAGGUUCGAAUCCUUCCUUUCUUAU